This 104-nucleotide microRNA precursor is filed under the name Dasypus novemcinctus (nine-banded armadillo). RNAcentral's name for it is "miRNA (ENSDNOG00000046299.1)". Lineage: Eukaryota; Metazoa; Chordata; Mammalia; Cingulata; Dasypodidae. The record is from RNAcentral.
AAAUGUAACAAUUAUAAAUAUAUAUAUAUAUAUAUAUGUGUGUGUGUGUGUGUGUGUGUGUAUAUAUUCCUAACAGCAGAACCCCAAAAUACAUGAAGCAAAUA